GGAACUGAACCUUCAAUGGAGCUUAAGGACAUUUUCUUUGGCAUUGAGUUGCGUGACUUUAUUAUAGAAGAAUGGAAUUGCACAGCAGAUACGUAGUAGUGAUAGCUAGUAAUAAAGGAAGGCGUAUCGUUCUUGGAUAGGAGGCCCGUUUUUGGUGAUUGGGGUGCUGCCGAUGUAUUGCUCUAUGUGCGUUUCUUUGAGGAAAUUGGACAAUCAAUUACACAGAGUUGUCGAUAACGUUCGAUGUUGAAGAGGGGAUUUCAGGGAAUCUGCCGUUUUCUC
RNAcentral lists this long non-coding RNA (282 nucleotides) under Nicotiana benthamiana. RNAcentral's name for it is "long non-coding RNA (NBEN_LNC014874)". Lineage: Eukaryota; Viridiplantae; Streptophyta; Magnoliopsida; Solanales; Solanaceae. The record is from RNAcentral.